This 602-nucleotide ribosomal RNA is filed under the name Fucaria striata. RNAcentral's name for it is "SSU rRNA". It matches the Rfam family "Eukaryotic small subunit ribosomal RNA", at positions 1184 to 1785 of the family's 1831-position model. The record is from RNAcentral. Lineage: Eukaryota; Metazoa; Mollusca; Gastropoda; Trochida; Skeneidae.
UGCGGCUUAAUUUGACUCAACACGGGAAACCUCACCUGGUCCGGACACUGGAAGGAUUGACAGAUUGAAAGCUCUUUCUUGAUUCAGUGGGUGGUGGUGCAUGGCCGUUCUUAGUUGGUGGAGUGAUUUGUCUGGUUAAUUCCGAUAACGAACGAGACUCUAGCCUGCUAACUAGUUCGCCGACAGCUCGUUGUCGCGCGGCGCCGCUUCGGCGGCAAACUUCUUAGAGGGACAGGUGGCGUUUAGCCACACGAAGUAGAGCAAUAACAGGUCUGUGAUGCCCUUAGAUGUCCGGGGCCGCACGCGCGCUACACUGAAAGAAUCAACGUGGAUGCCCACCUGCUCCGAGAGGAGUGGGAAACCCGAUGAAUCUCUUUCGUGAUGGGGAUUGGGGCUUGUAAUUGUUCCCCAUGAACGAGGAAUUCCCAGUAAGCGUCAGUCAUUAGCUGGCGUUGAUUACGUCCCUGCCCUUUGUACACACCGCCCGUCGCUACUACCGAUUGAAUGGUUUANUGAGACCCUCGGACUGGAGUCCGUCUGCCGCUUUCGGGUGGUGGACGGGGACGGAAAGACGGUCGAACUUGAUCAUUUAGAGGAAGUAA